This 336-nucleotide ribosomal RNA is filed under the name uncultured bacterium. RNAcentral describes it as "bacterial SSU rRNA". It matches the Rfam family "Bacterial small subunit ribosomal RNA", at positions 173 to 507 of the family's 1533-position model. The record is from RNAcentral.
UGAUAUCUCCUAGACGACAUCUGAAAGGGAUUAAAGAUUUAUCGGUGAUGGAUGGGGAUGCGUCUGAUUAGCUUGUUGGCGGGGUAACGGCCCACCAAGGCAACGAUCAGUAGGGGUUCUGAGAGGAAGGUCCCCCACAUUGGAACUGAGACACGGUCCAAACUCCUACGGGAGGCAGCAGUGAGGAAUAUUGGUCAAUGGGCGAGAGCCUGAACCAGCCAAGUAGCGUGCAGGACGACGGCCCUAUGGGUUGUAAACUGCUUUUAUAAGGGAAUAAAGUGAGUCUCGUGAGACUUUUUGCAUGUACCUUAUGAAUAAGGACCGGCUAAUUCCGUG